UCGUCGCCUGAAGAGUGGUGUUGCCCCGAGUAUUUUCCCUUGGAACAACUUUACUGAUCCUUUGAGAAGGGAGUCAGAAUAUGACAGAACCUCAAACGUCAGGCUAUGCAGCUAAGCUGAGAAGAUACUAGCGACAUGGUGGCUAAGCUAAGACAGUAAAGAUGGAUCACGACUACGUGACACACCCACCUGCAGGUGCUCUGGAUGAGGCUUUGGAUUACAUCCAUGACUUAGAAGCCAAGUUCCUUUGCUGGAGCCAGGAGACGAUGUCAUGGCAGACAAAAGUUUCUCGUUCAAGACCUCCUAACUGACAUUGGAUCUAAGAU
Long non-coding RNA from Oryzias latipes (Japanese medaka), 326 nucleotides. RefSeq lists it as uncharacterized. NCBI's taxonomy places the organism in Eukaryota, Metazoa, Chordata, Actinopteri, Beloniformes, Adrianichthyidae. The record is from RefSeq and is a predicted model, not a curated record.